RNAcentral lists this ribosomal RNA (562 nucleotides) under uncultured bacterium. Its description in RNAcentral is "partial 16S ribosomal RNA". It matches the Rfam family "Bacterial small subunit ribosomal RNA", at positions 355 to 909 of the family's 1533-position model. The record is from RNAcentral.
UGGGGAAUUUUGGACAAUGGGCGAAAGCCUGAUCCAGCAAUGCCGCGUGUGUGAAGAAGGCCUUCGGGUCGUAAAGCACUUUUGUCCGGAAAGAAAUCCUUGGCUCUAAUACAGUCGGGGGAUGACGGUACUGGAAGAAUAAGCACCGGCUAACUACGUGCCAGCAGCCGCGGUAAUACGUAGGGUGCAAGCGUUAAUCGGAAUUACUGGGCGUAAAGCGUGCGCAGGCGGUUUGCUAAGACCGAUGUGAAAUCCCCGGGCUCAACCUGGGAACUGCAUUCGUGACUGCAAGGCUAGAGUAUGGCAGAGGGGGGUAGAAUUCCACGUGUAGCAGUGAAAUGCGUAGAGAUGUGGAGGAAUACCGAUGGCGAAGGCAGCCCCCUGGGCCAAUACUGACGCUCAUGCACGAAAGCGUGGGGAGCAAACAGGAUUAGAUACCCUGGUAGUCCACGCCCUAAAACGAUGUCAACUAGUUGUUGGGGAUUCAUUUCCUUAGUAACGUAGCUAACGCGUGAAGUUGACCGCCUGGGGAGUACGGUCGCAAGAUUAAAACUUAAAGGAA